CGGAGGGUGCAAGCGUUAUCCGGAUUCACUGGGUUUAAAGGGUGCGUAGGAGGGCAGGUAAGUCAGUGGUGAAAUCUCCGAGCUUAACUUGGAAACUGCCGUUGAUACUAUCUGUCUUGAAUAUUGUGGAGGUGAGCGGAAUAUGUCAUGUAGCGGUGAAACGCUUAGAUAUGACAUAGAACACCAAUUGCGAAGGCAGCUCGCUACACAUAUAUUGACUCUGAGGCACGAAAGCGUGGGGAUCAAACAGGAUUAGAUACCCUGGUAGUCCACGCCCUAAACGAUGGAUACUCGACAUACGCGAUACACUGUGUGUGUCUGAGCGAAAGCAUUAAGUAUCCCACCUGAGAAGUACGACCGCAAGGUUG
Molecule: ribosomal RNA, 368 nt
Filed under: uncultured organism
Description: bacterial SSU rRNA
Rfam family: Bacterial small subunit ribosomal RNA
Source: RNAcentral